This 455-nucleotide ribosomal RNA is filed under the name uncultured Alloprevotella sp. RNAcentral describes it as "partial 16S ribosomal RNA". It matches the Rfam family "Bacterial small subunit ribosomal RNA", at positions 341 to 792 of the family's 1533-position model. Lineage: Bacteria; Pseudomonadati; Bacteroidota; Bacteroidia; Bacteroidales; Prevotellaceae. The record is from RNAcentral.
ACGGAAGGCAGCAGUGAGGAAUAUUGGUCAAUGGCCGAGAGGCUGAACCAGCCAAGUAGCGUGCAGGAUGACGGCCCUCCGGGUUGUAAACUGCUUUUAGUUGGGAAUAACUGCGGGCUCGUGAGCCCGAGCUGUAUGUACCAUCAGAAAAAGGACCGGCUAAUUCCGUGCCAGCAGCCGCGGUAAUACGGAAGGUCCGGGCGUUAUCCGGAUUUAUUGGGUUUAAAGGGAGCGUAGGCGGGCUUUUAAGUCAGCUGUGAAAUCCUGCGGCUCAACCGUGGAAUUGCAGUUGAUACUGGGAGUCUUGAGUGCACGCAGGGAUGCCGGAAUUCGUUGUGUAGCGGUGAAAUGCUUAGAUAUGACGAAGAACUCCGAUUGGGAAGCCAGCUUACUGUAGCGCCACUGACGCUGAUGCUCGAAAGCGUGGGUAUCGAACAGGAUUAGAUACCCUGGUA